Molecule: ribosomal RNA, 492 nt
Filed under: uncultured bacterium
Lineage: Bacteria
Description: partial 16S ribosomal RNA
Rfam family: Bacterial small subunit ribosomal RNA
Source: RNAcentral
AGUGAACGCUGGCGGUAGGCCUAACACAUGCAAGUCGAACGGCAGCACAGUAAGAGCUUGCUCUUACGAGUGGCGAGUGGCGGGCGGGUGAGGCAUACAUCGGAAUCUACUUUUUCGUGGGGGAUAACGUAGGGCGAAUUACGCUACUACCUCAUACGACCUACGGGUGAAAGCAGGGGAUAUUCGGACCUUGCGCGAUUGAAUGAGCCGAUGUCGGAUUAGCUAGUUGGCGGGGUAAAGGCCCACCAAGGCGACGAUCCGUAGCUGGUCUGAGAGGAUGAUGAGCCACACUGGAACUGAGACACGGUCCAGAUUCCUACGGGAGGCAGCAGUGGGGAAUAUUGGACAAGGGGCGCAAUCCUGAUCCAGCCAUACCGGGUGGGUGAAGAAGGCCUUCGGGUUUUAAAGCCUUUUUGUUGGGAAAGAAAAGCAUCAGGUUAAUACCCCGCUGUUCUGACGGUACCCAAAGAAUAAGCACCGGCUAACUUCGUG